Molecule: long non-coding RNA, 2601 nt
Filed under: Amphibalanus amphitrite
Lineage: Eukaryota; Metazoa; Arthropoda; Thecostraca; Balanomorpha; Balanidae
Description: uncharacterized LOC122393894
Source: RNAcentral
GCACAGCCUUGCUCCAUCCUGCACCCUCACAGUUUACACUAAUUGAAACCUUGCAAAAUCCUAUUCGUUACGCUCAUCGUGUGACGGACGGGCGGCCCGGCCCGCACGCAUGUACAAUAAUAAAGUUGAUUGACGCUGCGCUUUGCAGUGCCCAGCCGGCCGCCCUGCGUCCUACAUUCACGCGUGUCGGUCAGCGUCCCAGUUUCGUACACGUGUGUUUCAUCGUAUAUAAAGUCCUGUAUCUGACGCCAAUACAAUCCAGUUCACCAGCAGACGUCUUUGCUGAAGAUACCAAUCUUCGAGAUUGUGGGUACAAUUAUGCACCUCGUCUGAUUUUGGAUCAAUGAACAUACAUAAAACCAAACAACUACCUACCGGACUCCGCCGAAAGCAUACGCCUUGUUAUUAUACUUAACUGCUACAUACCCGAACGAUAACGAUAAUGGCUCGGUAGUCGGUAGGAAACGUUAUACUCGUAUUCCCCCCUCCCACCCAAUUCAUACUUUUGAUCACAAAUACGUGCUGCUCAUUCUUGUGGCACCAAAGAGAACGACAUCGGACGCUGCCUCUGAUUGUACCCGCCAACAGAAAGGUAACCGAGUAAGUAAAUCAAAAUUAUUUGCAUAGCGCCCCUUUCACCACCAACGAUACGUACCUAUCCCUCUCCACAUCCAAAAUAUGUCCUAGGAUAGAAUCCGUAGUACGGUCGACGGAUGUCACUCAUGUCCGUUGGCUGCAAAAAUCGUCCUACGUGCCAAAUCCCUUUGUUCGUCAGGACCCGCAUCCGUUUCCUUCAACGCUAUCCCGCUGUCCACUAGAGCCGUUUCACUCACUACUGAAGACUCCCUCAUUACCAUCGAAUUUAUUACUUCCCAACAAUGCCACAAAGAGAGAAUUUGUCUAUCUCAUCGAUCAAUAAAAAGCUGUGAACCCAUUUCUUUUUGUUUAGAUGCUCCCAUCUUGAACCUUACGCAACGUAAUGAAACCUCUGUUCAACACACAGCUCUUACACACUCCCGUGGUCUUUUCGACUCUAUUUCUAUGACCACAACCUCCAUUGGCACAUCUAUAAAAAACUACGUUAUCUCGUUUUUAGCCAUUCUGGCUGGUAUUUUUACCCUCUCUUUCGUAAUCACUCUUUUUAAACGUUAAUUUUCUUCAAACUUCCCCGUUAUCAUGUUUCGCUUCCGCCAGGCUCUUCAAGCCUGAUUAUAUACAAUGUACCACAGUGCGACCGUGCCACGCCCGGCCGGCGCCCCGAUACAUCUACAACUUCGAGGAUCUUCACAUUAUCAUGUAAGCGGAAGUGCAACAUGGUGAGGCCAAAAUUUUGCUCCCUUCUAAGCCUCACGUUUUUGAUUGUACAUUUUGGUUGCUUGUGUCACAUGAUGCUUAUUGUCACUUGAACGUCACACACCAUGGUUCAUAAAGAAGACACGGCCAAGUGCCGUCCACAUACCUAUAUGCAAAUAUGAUGGUAUGUACUUGUCUUGCUUGUCAAAUGUGUAUCCUUGUAUUACUUGUAAAUCGUAUGUACUUGUAUCGCUGGCCAAUUGUUCUUGUAUAUUUUGCUUCACUAUAGGUUGUAGAUUUGUCCAAACGUAAAAAGUCGGAUACAGGCAUUACCACUUCUUCCAAGUUCCCAACAUUUCACUACCUAACCAUUUAUCUCAACACCCCUCGAGUCACAAUAUAGGUUGUCAGCCGCUUUGCACAACGAUGUGUCAGUUAUGGUCACAGGUUUCCAUCUUCGCGUAUCCAUCUGGACAAGGGCCCAGUCCAGCCGCGAAGACCUGCACUGGUCGACAUCCGUCUGUUCCUGCCAUCGAGAUUCCCCUGUUGGUUCUCCAGCCACAUCAAGCAGCAGUCUUCUAACGCCGACGCCGUCUACACACCCGCCUCAUCAACACGGCACGGUGUACCGGUGGACUGAACUCUCUGCGCCACGUCACCACACUCGUGGCAGCGCCUUCCUGCAGGCAUCCGGCUACAACAUCACCUGACGUCGCCGUCACCUCUCUGGUGACCUCACUAUCACCAUCUCGGGCGAUAUCAGGAUACCAGCCAGCCGCCGCUGUACUCCAGCACCAAGCGCUGGCCACUCCAGAGGCGCACAUACGAGUACCUACGGUCCAUCUACAUUCUACGGCGUCCGAGAAUAUUUCUGCUGCACACCAUGAUGCCUGGCGAACCGAUGGGAUCUCUACCUGAUGCUGCUUUCGAUGUCGAUCUCCAACAAUGCAUACCUGUGCAUCAUACUAUCAUGUCUUGUUGCAAGUGUUCGUUGACGCCUCCUAUUGUCGGCUCCCGGGGAGGGUGAGAUAAUGUCGCACAGCCUUGCUCCAUCCUGCACCCUCACAGUUUACACUAAUUGAAACCUUGCAAAAUCCUAUUCGUUACGCUCAUCGUGUGACGGACGGGCGGCCCGGCCCGCACGCAUGUACAAUAAUAAAGUUGAUUGACGCUGCGCUUUGCAGUGCCCAGCCGGCCGCCCUGCGUCCUACAUUCACGCGUGUCGGUCAGCGUCCCAGUUUCGUACACGUGUGUUUCAUCGUAUAUAAAGUCCUGUAUCUGACGCCAAUACAAUCCAGUUCACCAGCA